GCUUCCGUAGCUCAACCGGAUAGAGCGCCCGCCUUCUAAGCGGAUGGUUGCAGGUUCGAGUCCUGCCGGAAGCGCCA
RNAcentral lists this transfer RNA (77 nucleotides) under Maricaulis maris. RNAcentral describes it as "tRNA-Arg". It matches the Rfam family "tRNA". From Rfam's summary of the family: Transfer RNA (tRNA) molecules are approximately 80 nucleotides in length. Their secondary structure includes four short double-helical elements and three loops (D, anti-codon, and T loops). Further hydrogen bonds mediate the characteristic L-shaped molecular structure. tRNAs have two regions of fundamental functional importance: the anti-codon, which is responsible for specific mRNA codon recognition, and the 3' end, to which the tRNAs corresponding amino acid is attached (by aminoacyl-tRNA synthetases). tRNAs cope with the degeneracy of the genetic code in two manners: having more than one tRNA (with a specific anti-codon) for a particular amino acid; and 'wobble' base-pairing, i.e. permitting non-standard base-pairing at the 3rd anti-codon position. The record is from RNAcentral. Lineage: Bacteria; Pseudomonadati; Pseudomonadota; Alphaproteobacteria; Maricaulales; Maricaulaceae. RNAcentral also lists the same sequence under 3 other names.